This 253-nucleotide ribosomal RNA is filed under the name uncultured bacterium. RNAcentral's name for it is "partial 16S ribosomal RNA". It matches the Rfam family "Bacterial small subunit ribosomal RNA", at positions 524 to 776 of the family's 1533-position model. The record is from RNAcentral.
UAUAGAGGUGGCAAGCGUUGUUCGGAAUUACUGGGCGUAAAGGGCGCGUAGGCGGCUUGGUCAGUCCCGUGUGAAAUCCCUCGGCUCAACUGAGGAACUGCACGGGAAACUGCCUGGCUUGAGUUCGGGAGAGGGAAGCGGAAUUCCGGGUGUAGCGGUGAAAUGCGUAGAUAUCCGGAGGAACACCGGUGGCGAAGGCGGCUUCCUGGACCGACACUGACGCUGAGGCGCGAAAGCUAGGGGAGCAAACGGG